RNAcentral lists this ribosomal RNA (157 nucleotides) under Garcinia intermedia. Its description in RNAcentral is "5.8S ribosomal RNA". It matches the Rfam family "5.8S ribosomal RNA". From Rfam's summary of the family: 5.8S ribosomal RNA (5.8S rRNA) is a component of the large subunit of the eukaryotic ribosome. It is transcribed by RNA polymerase I as part of the 45S precursor that also contains 18S and 28S rRNA. Functionally, it is thought that 5.8S rRNA may be involved in ribosome translocation. Lineage: Eukaryota; Viridiplantae; Streptophyta; Magnoliopsida; Malpighiales; Clusiaceae. RNAcentral also lists the same sequence under 1 other name. The record is from RNAcentral.
UAGAACGACUCUCGGCAACGGAUAUCUCGGCUCUCGCAUCGAUGAAGAACGUAGCGAAAUGCGAUACGUGGUGUGAAUUGCAGAAUCCCGUGAACCAUCGAGUUUUUGAACGCAAGUUGCGCCCGAAGCCUUCAGGUUGAGGGCACGUCUGCCUGGG